UUUUUGCCUUUUUCCUAAAUUUCUCCUUUUUUUCUAUUUUUUGACAUAAGAUUUGGAUCAGCUUGUUACAGAUCUGAUAAGCCUCCUGUCUCAAGCUAGGCGUAUGCCUCCACAGAUGCUAUACCUGUUCAUUUAAGCACUGUGAGUGUACAUUUCAUUCAUCACUUUCUAUAAAUAUUUUUAUUAAGUAUUCUAUAAUAGAUACUGAUAUUACUACUCUUCCCCACAGUUGGCCACUCUGUCUCUGGGUGCCGCCCCUUGCCUCUCCGAUGGUUGGGGAUUGUGUGAAUUCCAUCUGCAGCGGCUCCUCAUUUUUUCCUGCCUAGGUUAUCCUUUUGGCUGUCAACUUGUGCUCAUCCGGCCUGAUUUUUCAGGCAUGUGAUGGAACCAGGGUAUACACGCACCCUGUUGUCUUUUUACUCCCACUACGGACCAGCAGAAUCCAAACUCUGAUCUCAACCACCCCUGAAGAAGCCUGACCGGGCGAAAUAUAUAGGGUUUACCAACCGGGUUGCGAUCUCUGUUACAGUACUGAUGUCUGUUAUGGGAACCUUUUAACUUUGUACUCUUGAUCAGGUUGUUGAGUUGUGUAGUGGGCUCCUGUGAGGUCUAUGAUAUGCCUUACAACCUGACGCUACUCUGUUUUUUAAUAAAUCAUUAAAAUUUAUAUUAUUU
Long non-coding RNA from Rana temporaria (common frog), 675 nucleotides. RefSeq lists it as uncharacterized. The record is from RefSeq and is a predicted model, not a curated record. The transcript has 2 exons. NCBI's taxonomy places the organism in Eukaryota, Metazoa, Chordata, Amphibia, Anura, Ranidae.